GCGGCCGCCCUCCGUCCGGGGGGUGGCCAGCGCCCGCCAGAGGACCAUCGAACUCCGGUCAGUGAACGUUGCCGUCUGAAAAACAAUCAAUAAACUAAAACUUUCAACAACGGAUCUCUUGGUUCUGGCAUCGAUGAAGAACGCAGCGAAAUGCGAUAAGUAAUGUGAAUUGCAGAAUUCAGUGAAUCAUCGAAUCUUUGAACGCACAUUGCGCCCCUCGGUAUUCCGAGGGGCAUGCCUGUUCGAGCGUCAUUACAACCCUCAAGCUCUGCUUGGUGUUGGGCACCGCCCUUCCGCGGGCGCGCCUCAAAGACCUCGGCGGUGGCGUCUUGCCUCGAGCGUAGUAGAAAACACCUCGCUUUGGAGCGCACGGCGCCGCCCGCCGGACGAACCUUUUGAACUUUCUCAAGGUUGACCUCG
RNAcentral lists this ribosomal RNA (420 nucleotides) under Neoscytalidium dimidiatum. Its description in RNAcentral is "eukaryotic LSU rRNA". The stretch from base 99 to 252 matches the Rfam family "5.8S ribosomal RNA". The record is from RNAcentral. Lineage: Eukaryota; Fungi; Ascomycota; Dothideomycetes; Botryosphaeriales; Botryosphaeriaceae.